The sequence is a small nuclear RNA, 116 nucleotides long. Its record names the gene U5. It matches the Rfam family "U5 spliceosomal RNA". From Rfam's summary of the family: U5 RNA is a component of both types of known spliceosome. The record is from Ensembl.
AUACUGUGGUUUCUCUUCAAAUCGUACGAAUCUUUCACCUCUUACUAAAGAUUUCUGUGGAGAGGAACAACUCUGAGUCUUAAGCCAACUUUUCGAGGCCUUCUUUUAACAGGGCC